Long non-coding RNA from Phyllopteryx taeniolatus (common seadragon), 622 nucleotides. RefSeq lists it as uncharacterized. NCBI's taxonomy places the organism in Eukaryota, Metazoa, Chordata, Actinopteri, Syngnathiformes, Syngnathidae. The transcript has 3 exons. The record is from RefSeq and is a predicted model, not a curated record.
GCGCGAGAUUGGCGCCCGGCGCGGAUCCGACACGGUACCAGACACACGGCAGUGAGCUGGAUCCAUCCUCCGGAGGCUUGGCGGAGAGGGAGGGCGGGGGAAAAGACAACACAGGUGGAUCCAUGGCCGGAAAUGGUGGAGUCAAGGGUGCGCCCUGCAAAUAAAUUGUCAUUACCAUGACAACCACUCUACAAGCUGGAAUUGGAAGAUGCUGUUCAUGGCAACAGUGGCAGGCAGCCAGUCCAACAGCCCAGCUCCAACCCAAGGGUACUUCAUUCCACUAAGAGAGCCAAGCCACCUCCAAACGCUGUCCAAGGAAAAUGUUAUACAUUGAAGACAAGCAAGGCAAGAGGUGACUGGCUUGAUCCACCAUGAAAACUGGGGGUCUGAGGUCAUUGUGGCAAUGACAAACAUGCUUUCCUAUUUCUUACAAGCCAAUGUGUUGUUGGUUAUAUGAAUUAUUUGCUUCAUGUUGCUACUUAAAUUCAAAUGAGCUGCGGUUUACAAAACCAAAAAGCAUUGAGUAUCAAGGCAUAUACUGUAGUGAUGAAAGUACUGAAUCACUUUGUCAUGAAAGAAAUGUCAAAAAUGCAGAGAAAUAAAAAUCAUCAGAGAAUUGAAA